AGUGAACGCUGGCGGUAGGCCUAACACAUGCAAGUCGAACGGCAGCACAGGAGAGCUUGCUCUCUGGGUGGCGAGUGGCGGACGGGUGAGGAAUACAUCGGAAUCUACUCUGUCGUGGGGGAUAACGUAGGGAAACUUACGCUAAUACCGCAUACGACCUACGGGUGAUAGCAGGGGACCUUCGGGCCUUGCGCGAUUGAAUGAGCCGAUGUCGGAUUAGCUAGUUGGCGGGGUAAAGGCCCACCGAGGCGACGAUCCGUAGCUGGUCUGAGAGGAUGAUCAGCCACACUGGAACUGAGACACGGUCCAGACUCCUACGGGAGGCAGCAGUGGGGAAUAUUGGACAAUGGGCGCAAGCCUGAUCCGGCCAUACCGCGUGGGUGAAGAAGGCCUUCGGGUUGUAAAGCCCUUUUGUUGGGAAAGAAAUCCAGCUGGCUAAUACCCGGUUGGGAUGACGGUACCCAAAGAAUAAGCACCGGCUAACUUCGUGCCAGCAGCCGCCGUAA
Molecule: ribosomal RNA, 506 nt
Filed under: uncultured bacterium
Lineage: Bacteria
Description: partial 16S ribosomal RNA
Rfam family: Bacterial small subunit ribosomal RNA
Source: RNAcentral